This 253-nucleotide ribosomal RNA is filed under the name uncultured archaeon. RNAcentral describes it as "partial 16S ribosomal RNA". It matches the Rfam family "Bacterial small subunit ribosomal RNA", at positions 524 to 776 of the family's 1533-position model. The record is from RNAcentral.
UACAUAGGGUGCAAGCGUUGUCCGGAAUUAUUGGGCGUAAAGCAUCCGUAGCCGGCUCUGUAAGUUUUCAGUUAAAUCUAUACGCUCAACGUAUGGGCUGCCGAAAAUACUGUAGAGAUAGGGAGUGGGAGAGGUAGACGGUACUCGGUAGGAAGGGGUAAAAUCCUUUGAUCUAUCGAUGACCACCUGUGGCGAAGGCGGUCUACCAGAACACGUUCGACGGUGAGGGAUGAAAGCUGGGGGAGCAAACCGG